Molecule: ribosomal RNA, 450 nt
Filed under: uncultured bacterium
Lineage: Bacteria
Description: partial 16S ribosomal RNA
Rfam family: Bacterial small subunit ribosomal RNA
Source: RNAcentral
CCUACGGGUGGCAGCAGUAGGGAAUAUUGGACAAUGGGCGCAAGCCUGAUCCAGCCAUCCCGCGUGAAGGAUUAAGGCCCUCUGGGUUGUAAACUUCUUUUCUUUGGGAAUAAAAACUCCGAUUCAUCGGAGCUUGAAGGUACCAGAGGAAUAAGCACCGGCUAACUCCGUGCCAGCAGCCGCGGUAAUACGGAGGGUGCAAGCGUUACUCGGUUUAACGGGGGUUUAGGGGGCCGUGGAAGUCAGUGGUGAAAGCCCGGAGCUCAACUCCGGAACUGCCAUUGAUACUGCUUAGCUUGAAUCAGGUCGAGGUGGAUGGAAUAUUACAUGUAGCGGUGAAAUGCUUAGAUAUGUAAUAGAACACCGAUUGCGAAGGCAGUUCACUAGGCCUGUAUUGACACUGAGGCACGAAAGCGUGGGGAUCAAACAGGAUUAGAUACCCGAGUAGUC